AUGCCGGUGGCGAAGAGGCCGCCCGCUCCGUGGGCGCUGGCCCUCCCGGCCGGCCGCCGCGCGCGCGCCCGCCUCUGCCUCCGCCUCGCCGCGCCGCUCUCCUUCCUGCUCCUCGUCGCCGCGUUCCUCCGCACCCAGCCCCCGGCCGCGCCGCUCGACGCGCUGCCGCCCUCCGCGGGGCCGGGGAAGGUGGCCUUCCUCUUCCUCGCCCGCGCCGGCCUGCCGCUCGACUUCCUCUGGGACGCCUUCUUCCGCAAUGGGGAGGAGGGGAGGUUCUCCGUAUACGUGCACUCCGCGCCGGGCUUCGUCCUUGACCGCACCACCACCGGAUCGCCGUACUUCUACGGGCGUCAACUCGCGAGGGCCGUCAAGGUGGCGUGGGGCGAACCAACCAUGGUAGAGGCGGAGAAGAUGUUGUUCGCCGCCGCGCUUGAGGAUCCCGCCAACCAGCGAUUUGUUUUGCUGUCGGAUAGUUGUGUUCCUUUGUACAACUUCAGCUACACAUAUACUUACUUGAUGGGUUCACCUAGAAGUAUUGUGGAUAGUUUCACUGACAAAACAGAGAAGCGUUAUAAUCCAAACAUGUCUCCUGUCAUUCGAAAGGAUAAAUGGAGGAAAGGAUCCCAGUGGGUAAUGUUAAUCAGAAAACACGCAGAGGUUGUUGUUGGCGACAAGCAUGUCUUUCAAGUAUUCAGAAAGCAUUGUAAGAUGGUUGUGACCAAUGCUUUGCUUGGACAAAAGCCGGCGAAUGCUAGACGACUAGGAUUUGUACGGCGAAAGCAGAUAUCGAAAGGAGCUGCCCAGGAGGAGCACGAUUGUAUUCCGGAUGAACACUAUGUGCAGACAUUAUUUUCUAUCAAAGGACUGGAAGAUGAACUUGAAAGAAGAACUUUGACCUAUACAUCAUGGAACCAGUCAACUUUAGAUCCUAAAGAUAAAAUGACUUGGCAUCCAACGACAUUUGAAUAUGACGCAGCAAGUCCUGAGCAGAUCAAUGCUAUAAAGAGAAUCGAUCAUGUGAACUAUGAGGUGGAACACAGGACUGAGUGGUGCCAAUCCAAUGGCACAUCUGUACCAUGUUUCUUAUUUGCCAGAAAGUUCUCAUACGGCGCCGCGAUGCAUCUGUUGGAGGAUGGUGCUUUUGGUCUGCUAAAAUCUGCUCAACUACUGGUUAACUUCUAA
RNAcentral lists this ribosomal RNA (1182 nucleotides) under Triticum aestivum (bread wheat). RNAcentral's name for it is "partial small subunit ribosomal RNA". Lineage: Eukaryota; Viridiplantae; Streptophyta; Magnoliopsida; Poales; Poaceae. The record is from RNAcentral.